UGUAAGCGUAUACCAAAGUUGUUGCAGUUAAAACGCUCGUAGUCGGAAUUUGGCAGUUCCGGAUGUGUGCACGUCGUGUGCGCACUUCGCGGGGAUUGCUUUUGUGGUCUUGCGUAGGAUGAGGCACUUUUAUUAGUGAACGUCCUCACGCAACCACUUUUUACUGUGAGAAAAUCAGAGUGCUCAAAGCAGGCAUUUGCCGUGAAUGUAUUAGCAUGGAAUAAUAGAAUAGGACUUGGUUCUAUUUUGUUGGUUUGUUGGGACUGAGUAAUGAUUAAGAGGGACAGUUGGGGGCAUUUGUAUUUCGGUGCUAGAGGUGAAAUUCUUAGAUUACCGAAAGAUAAACUGCUGCGAAAGCGUCUGCCAAGGAUGUUUUCAUUGA
Molecule: ribosomal RNA, 382 nt
Filed under: uncultured eukaryote
Lineage: Eukaryota
Description: partial 18S ribosomal RNA
Rfam family: Eukaryotic small subunit ribosomal RNA
Source: RNAcentral